GACGAACGCUGGCGGCGCGCCUAACACAUGCAAGUCGAACGAGCGAGAGAGAGCUUGCUUUCUCGAGCGAGUGGCGAACGGGUGAGUAACGCGUGAGGAACCUGCCUCAAAGAGGGGGACAACAGUUGGAAACGACUGCUAAUACCGCAUAAGCCCACAGCUCGGCAUCGAGCAGAGGGAAAAGGAGCAAUCCGCUUUGAGAUGGCCUCGCGUCCGAUUAGCUAGUUGGUGAGGUAAUGGCCCACCAAGGCGACGAUCGGUAGCCGGACUGAGAGGUUGAACGGCCACAUUGGGACUGAGACACGGCCCAGACUCCUACGGGAGGCAGCAGUGGGGAAUAUUGCACAAUGGGGGAAACCCUGAUGCAGCGACGCCGCGUGGAGGAAGAAGGUCUUCGGAUUGUAAACUCCUGUUGUUGAGGAAGAUAAUGACGGUACUCAACAAGGAAGUGACGGCUAACUACGUGCCAGCAGCCGCGGUAAAACGUAGGUCACAAGCGUUGUCCGGAACUACUGGGUGUAAAGGGAGCGCAGGCGGGAAGACAAGUUGGAAGUGAAAUCCAUGGGCUCAACCCAUGAACUGCUUUCAAAACUGUUUUUCUUAAGUAGUGCAGAGGUAGGCGGAAUUCCCGGUGUAGCGGUGGAAUGCGUAGAUAUCGGGAGGAACACCAGUGGCGAAGGCGGCCUACUGGGCACCAACUGACGCUGAGGCUCGAAAGUGUGGGUAGCAAACAGGAUUAGAUACCCUGGUAGUCCACACUGUAAACGAUGAUUAAGGGGUGUUGGAGGAUUGACCCCUUCAGUGCCGCAGUAACACAAUAAG
RNAcentral lists this ribosomal RNA (822 nucleotides) under uncultured bacterium. RNAcentral describes it as "bacterial SSU rRNA". It matches the Rfam family "Bacterial small subunit ribosomal RNA", at positions 28 to 864 of the family's 1533-position model. The record is from RNAcentral.